UACGGCCUUAUCAUGUUGAAACACCAGGUUCCUCUACAAUCCCCAAGUUAAGCAACGUCGAGCCUGAUCAGUACCUAGAUGGGUGACUGCUUGGGAAUACCAGAUGCU
RNAcentral lists this ribosomal RNA (108 nucleotides) under Acanthosepion pharaonis. The record is from RNAcentral. Lineage: Eukaryota; Metazoa; Mollusca; Cephalopoda; Sepiida; Sepiidae.